CUGGCGGCGUGCUUAACACAUGCAAGUUCGAAACGAUGAAGCUCUAGCUUCGCUAGGUGGAUUAGUCGGCGAACGGGUGAGUAAUACGUGAGUCGACCUACCUUUGACUCUGGGAUAAGCCUGGGAAACUGGGUCUAAUACCGGAUACGACCAAUCUCCGCAUGGGGUGUUGGUGGAAAGCGUUAUGGAGUGGUUUUAGAUGGGCUCACGGCCUAUCAGCUUGUUGGUGAGGUAAUGGCUUACCAAGGCGACGACGGGUAGCCGGCCUGAGAGGGUGACCGGCCACACUGGGACUGAGACACGGCCCAGACUCCUACGGGAGGCAGCAGUGGGGAAUAUUGCACAAUGGGCGCAAGCCUGAUGCAGCGACGCCGGCGUGAGGGAUGACGGCCUUCGGGUUGUAAACCUCUGUUAGCAUCGAAGAAGCGAAAGUGACGGUAGGUGCAGAGAAAGCGCCGGCUAACUACGUGCCAGCAGCCGCGGUAAUACGUAGGGCGCGAGCGUUGUCCGGAAUUAUUGGGCGUAAAGAGCUUGUAGGCGGUUGGUCGCGUCUGCUGUGAAAGGCUGGGGCUUAACCCUGGUUUUGCAGUGGGUACGGGCUAACUAGAGUGCAGUAGGGGAGACUGGAAUUCCUGGUGUAGCGGUGGAAUGCGCAGAUAUCAGGAGGAACACCGAUGGCGAAGGCAGGUCUCUGGGCUGUAACUGACGCUGAGAAGCGAAAGCAUGGGGAGCGAACAGGAUUAGAUACCCUGGUAGUCCAUGCCGUAAACGUUGGGCACUAGGUGUGGGGGACAUUCCACGUUUUCCGCGCCGUAGCUAACGCAUUAAGUGCCCCGCCUGGGGAGUACGGCCGCAAGGCUAAAACUCAAAGAAAUUGACGGGGGCCCGCACAAGCGGCGGAGCAUGCGGAUUAAUUCGAUGCAACGCGAAGAACCUUACCAAGGCUUGACAUAUACUGGACUGCGUCAGAGAUGGCGUUUCCCUUCGGGGCUGGUAUACAGGUGGUGCAUGGUUGUCGUCAGCUCGUGUCGUGAGAUGUUGGGUUAAGUCCCGCAACGAGCGCAACCCUCGUUCUAUGUUGCCAGCACGUGAUGGUGGGGACUCAUAGGAGACUGCCGGGGUCAACUCGGAGGAAGGUGGGGAUGACGUCAAAUCAUCAUGCCCCUUAUGUCUUGGGCUUCACGCAUGCUACAAUGGCCGGUACAGAGGGUUGCGAUACUGUGAGGUGGAGCUAAUCCCUAAAAGCCGGUCUCAGUUCGGAUUGGGGUCUGCAACUCGACCCCAUGAAGUCGGAGUCGCUAGUAAUCGCAGAUCAGCAACGCUGCGGUGAAUACGUUCCCGGGCCUUGCACACACCGCCCGUCA
This 1364-nucleotide ribosomal RNA is filed under the name uncultured bacterium. Its description in RNAcentral is "16S ribosomal RNA". It matches the Rfam family "Bacterial small subunit ribosomal RNA", at positions 36 to 1399 of the family's 1533-position model. The record is from RNAcentral.